This 68-nucleotide transfer RNA is filed under the name Propsilocerus paradoxus. RNAcentral describes it as "tRNA-Thr". It matches the Rfam family "tRNA". From Rfam's summary of the family: Transfer RNA (tRNA) molecules are approximately 80 nucleotides in length. Their secondary structure includes four short double-helical elements and three loops (D, anti-codon, and T loops). Further hydrogen bonds mediate the characteristic L-shaped molecular structure. tRNAs have two regions of fundamental functional importance: the anti-codon, which is responsible for specific mRNA codon recognition, and the 3' end, to which the tRNAs corresponding amino acid is attached (by aminoacyl-tRNA synthetases). tRNAs cope with the degeneracy of the genetic code in two manners: having more than one tRNA (with a specific anti-codon) for a particular amino acid; and 'wobble' base-pairing, i.e. permitting non-standard base-pairing at the 3rd anti-codon position. Lineage: Eukaryota; Metazoa; Arthropoda; Insecta; Diptera; Chironomidae. The record is from RNAcentral. RNAcentral also lists the same sequence under 1 other name.
GUUUUAAUAGUUUAACAAAAACAUUGGUCUUGUAAAUCAAAAAUAAGAAUUUUUAUUCUUUUGAAACA